GAUGAACGCUGGCGGCGUGCCUAAUACAUGCAAGUCGAGCGAACAGACGAGGAGCUUGCUCCUCUGACGUUAGCGGCGGACGGGUGAGUAACACGUGGAUACCCUACCUAUAAGACUGGGAUAACUUCGGGAAACCGGAGCUAAUACCGGAUAAUAUAUUGAACCGCAUGGUUCAAUAGUGAAAGACGGUUUUGCUGUCACUUAUAGAUGGAUCCGCGCCGCAUUAGCUAGUUGGUAAGGUAACGGCUUACCAAGGCGACGAUGCGUAGCCGACCGGAGAGGGGGAUCGGCCACACUGGAAGUGAGACACGGACCAGACUCCUACGGGAGGGAACAGUAGGGAACCUUCCGCAAUGGGCGAAAGCCUGACGGAGCAACGCCGCGUGAGUGAUGAAGGUCUUCGGAGCGUAAAGCUCUGUUAUUAGGGAAGAACAAAUGUGUAAGUAACUAUGCACGUCUUGACGGUACCUAAUCAGAAAGCCACGGCUAACUACGUG
RNAcentral lists this ribosomal RNA (497 nucleotides) under uncultured bacterium. RNAcentral's name for it is "partial 16S ribosomal RNA". It matches the Rfam family "Bacterial small subunit ribosomal RNA", at positions 28 to 507 of the family's 1533-position model. The record is from RNAcentral.